AGUUCUGCUAGUUUAGUUACAUAAAUUCUGAUUUGUGUAAAGUAAGAUUUAUACCUUUCUGUUUUUCUAGAAGCUGUUUGUGCAGAGAGUGUGUAUAACUUCUUUGGGUGACCUACAGCAGAGCAGGACCUGUUGGUUGCAGCUGCAGUAUCCGACACUGCUGAGUUUUAUUUUCAAUUGCCCAGAGCACAGAAUGCUUUUUCCCACAGUUGGAGGAUGAUGAACUGCUUUGUGAUCUCUCUGGAGUGUGGAGUCUGAUGGGGUAACUGGACAGUGUCAGACACAGUACAGCAACUUUGUGCUCUUCUGCUCAGACCAAGAAAUGAGUUCUGAGAAAUAAUCAGAUCCUUACUUCUGAAAUGUGGCAGAGAAUUGUAUGAUUCAGGGCUUGGACAGCCCAGUCCACAGAAGGACAUCAAGAAUGAGGCUCACUGGCAGUUUCAGAGUAACAAGAGUAACAAGUGAUGAUGAUCUUUCUCCACACAAUGACAUCUUUAAGGGCCAGAGAGAAAAUUACAGUCAAAACCAUGUGCAUUCAGGCAAUUUAGACAAUUUUCUGUGUGCAGACAAAAUCCCUGGAUUUCUCCUCAGUGUUUAUCAAGGUAGGCUUCACAAAGUAUUUCAGAAAUCCCUUCCUUCCUUCCUUCCUUCCUUCCUUCCUUCCUUCCUUCCUUCCUUCCUUCCUUCCUUCCUUCCUUCCUUCCUUCCUUCCUUCCUUC
RNAcentral lists this long non-coding RNA (719 nucleotides) under Parus major (Great Tit). RNAcentral's name for it is "lncRNA (ENSPMJG00000002225.1)". Lineage: Eukaryota; Metazoa; Chordata; Aves; Passeriformes; Paridae. The record is from RNAcentral.